GCCGGAAUGGUGGAAUAGGUAGACACAAGGGACUUAAAAUCCCUCGGAUGAAUAAUCCGUGCCAGUUCAAUUCUGGUUUCCGGCA
RNAcentral lists this transfer RNA (85 nucleotides) under Spirochaetia bacterium. RNAcentral describes it as "tRNA-Leu". It matches the Rfam family "tRNA". Rfam says of the family: Transfer RNA (tRNA) molecules are approximately 80 nucleotides in length. Their secondary structure includes four short double-helical elements and three loops (D, anti-codon, and T loops). Lineage: Bacteria; Pseudomonadati; Spirochaetota; Spirochaetia. The record is from RNAcentral. RNAcentral also lists the same sequence under 1 other name.